UACGGAAGGCAGCAGUGGGGAAUAUUGCACAAUGGGCGCAAGCCUGAUGCAGCCAUGCCGCGUGUAUGAAAAAGGCCUUCGGGUUGUAAAGUACUUUUCAGUCGUGAGGAAGGUGUUAAGGUUAAUAACCUUAGCAAUUGACGUUAGCGACAGAAGAAGCACCGGCUAACUCCGUGCCAGCAGCCGCGGUAAUACGGAGGUGCGAGCGUUAAUCGGAAUUACUGGGCGUAAAGGGCACGCAGGCGGUUAAUUAAGUUGGAUGUGAAAUCCCCGGGCUUAACCUGGGAAUGGCAUUCAAGACUGGUUAGCUAGAGUCUUGUAGAGGGGGUAGAAUUCCAUGUGUAGCGGUGAAAUGCGUAGAGAUGUGGAGGAAUACCGGUGGCGAAGGCGGCCCCUGGACAAAGACUGACGCUCA
Molecule: ribosomal RNA, 415 nt
Filed under: uncultured bacterium
Lineage: Bacteria
Description: bacterial SSU rRNA
Rfam family: Bacterial small subunit ribosomal RNA
Source: RNAcentral